GACGAACGCUGGCGGCGUGCCUAACACAUGCAAGUCGAGCGGGGUGAGUUCUUCGGAACGAUCCUAGCGGCGGACGGGUGAGUAACACGUGGGUAACCUGCCUCAAAGUGGGGGAUAGCCUUUCGAAAGGAAGAUUAAUACCGCAUAACCCAUAGCUUCCGCAUGGAAGCAAUGGUAAAGAUUUAUCGCUUUGAGAUGGACCCGCGGCGCAUUAGCUAGUUGGUGAGGUAACGGCUCACCAAGGCCACGAUGCGUAGCCGACCUGAGAGGGUGAUCGGCCACAUUGGAACUGAGACACGGUCCAGACUCCUACGGGUGGCAG
RNAcentral lists this ribosomal RNA (322 nucleotides) under uncultured bacterium. RNAcentral describes it as "bacterial SSU rRNA". It matches the Rfam family "Bacterial small subunit ribosomal RNA", at positions 28 to 351 of the family's 1533-position model. The record is from RNAcentral.